UACGGGAGGCAGCAGUGGGGAAUAUUGCACAAUGGGCGCAAGCCUGAUGCAGCCAUGCCGCGUGUAUGAAGAAGGCCUUCGGGUUGUAAAGUACUUUCAGUCGUGAGGAAGGUGUUAAGGUUAAUAACCUUAGCAAUUGACGUUAGCGACAGAAGAAGCACCGGCUAACUCCGUGCCAGCAGCCGCGGUAAUACGGAGGGUGCGAGCGUUAAUCGGAAUUACUGGGCGUAAAGGGCACGCAGGCGGUUAAUUAAGUUGGAUGUGAAAUCCCCGGGCUUAACCUGGGAAUGGCAUUCAAGACUGGUUAGCUAGAGUCCUGUAGAGGGGGUAGAAUUCCAUGUGUAGCGGUGAAAUGCGUAGAGAUGUGGAGGAAUACCGGUGGCGAAGGCGGCCCCUGGCAAAGACUGACGCUCAUGUGCGAAAGCGUGGGGAGCAAACAGGGAUUAGAUACC
This 452-nucleotide ribosomal RNA is filed under the name uncultured bacterium. RNAcentral describes it as "bacterial SSU rRNA". It matches the Rfam family "Bacterial small subunit ribosomal RNA", at positions 340 to 786 of the family's 1533-position model. The record is from RNAcentral.